AUAAGGAGCUUGCUCCUUUGACGUUAGCGGCGGACGGGUGAGUAACACGUGGGUAACCUACCUAUAAGACUGGGAUAACUUCGGGAAACCGGAGCUAAUACCGGAUAACAUUUGGAACCGCAUGGUUCUAAAGUGAAAGAUGGUUUUGCUAUCACUUAUAGAUGGACCCGCGCCGUAUUAGCUAGUUGGUAAGGUAACGGCUUACCAAGGCGACGAUACGUAGCCGACCUGAGAGGGUGAUCGGCCACACUGGAACUGAGACACGGUCCAGACUCCUACGGGAGGCAGCAGUAGGGAAUCUUCCGCAAUGGGCGAAAGCCUGACGGAGCAACGCCGCGUGAGUGAUGAAGGGUUUCGGCUCGUAAAACUCUGUUAUUAGGGAAGAACAAAUGUGUAAGUAACUGUGCACGUCUUGACGGUACCUAAUCAGAAAGCCACGGCUAACUACGUGCCAGCAGCCGCGGUAAUACGUAGGUGGCAAGCGUUAUCCGGAAUUAUUGGGCGUAAAGCGCGCGUAGGCGGUUUCUUAAGUCUGAUGUGAAAGCCCACGGCUCAACCGUGGAGGGUCAUUGGAAACUGGGAAACUUGAGUGCAGAAGAGGAAAGUGGAAUUCCAUGUGUAGCGGUGAAAUGCGCAGAGAUAUGGAGGAACACCAGUGGCGAAGGCGACUUUCUGGUCUGUAACUGACGCUGAUGUGCGAAAGCGUGGGGAUCAAACAGGAUUAGAUACCCUGGUAGUCCACGCCGUAAACGAUGAGUGCUAAGUGUUAGGGGGUUUCCGCCCCUUAGUGCUGCAGCUAACGCAUUAAGCACUCCGCCUGGGGAGUACGACCGCAAGGUUGAAACUCAAAGGAAUUGACGGGGACCCGCACAAGCGGUGGAGCAUGUGGUUUAAUUCGAAGCAACGCGAAGAACCUUACCAAAUCUUGACAUCCUUUGAAAACUCUAGAGAUAGAGCCUUCCCCUUCGGGGGACAAAGUGACAGGUGGUGCAUGGUUGUCGUCAGCUCGUGUCGUGAGAUGUUGGGUUAAGUCCCGCAACGAGCGCAACCCUUAAGCUUAGUUGCCAUCAUUAAGUUGGGCACUCUAGGUUGACUGCCGGUGACAAACCGGAGGAAGGUGGGGAUGACGUCAAAUCAUCAUGCCCCUUAUGAUUUGGGCUACACACGUGCUACAAUGGACAAUACAAAGGGCAGCUAAACCGCGAGGUCAUGCAAAUCCCAUAAAGUUGUUCUCAGUUCGGAUUGUAGUCUGCAACUCGACUACAUGAAGCUGGAAUCGCUAGUAAUCGUAGAUCAGCAUGCUACGGUGAAUACGUUCCCGGGUCUUGUACACACCGCCCGUCACACCACGAGAGUUUGUAACACCCGAAGCCGGUGGAGUAACCAUUUA
RNAcentral lists this ribosomal RNA (1390 nucleotides) under Staphylococcus saprophyticus. RNAcentral describes it as "bacterial SSU rRNA". It matches the Rfam family "Bacterial small subunit ribosomal RNA", at positions 71 to 1444 of the family's 1533-position model. The record is from RNAcentral. Lineage: Bacteria; Bacillati; Bacillota; Bacilli; Caryophanales; Staphylococcaceae.